Molecule: ribosomal RNA, 468 nt
Filed under: uncultured bacterium
Lineage: Bacteria
Description: partial 16S ribosomal RNA
Rfam family: Bacterial small subunit ribosomal RNA
Source: RNAcentral
GACGAACGCUGGCGGCGUGCUUAACACAUGCAAGUCGAACGGAAAUGCCCUGCUUUUGUGGGGUGCUCGAGUGGCGAACGGGUGAGUAACACGUGAGUAACCUGCCCUUGACUUUGGGAUAACUUCAGGAAACUGGGGCUAAUACCGGAUAUGAGCUCCUGCUGCAUUGUGGGGGUUGGAAAGUUUCGGCGGUUGGGGAUGGACUCGCGGCUUAUCAGCUUGUUGGUGGGGUAGUGGCUUACCAAGGCUUUGACGGGUAGCCGGCCUGAGAGGGUGACCGGCCACAUUGGGACUGAGAUAGGGCCCAGACGCCUACGGGAGGCAGCAGUGGGGAAUAUUGCACAAUGGGGGGAAGCCUGAGGCAGAAACGCUGCGUGCGGGAUGACGGCCUUCGGGUUGUAAACCGCUUUCGCAGGUGACGAAGCGUGAGUGACGGUAAUGGGUAAAGAAGCACCGGCUAACUACGUG